RNAcentral lists this long non-coding RNA (11305 nucleotides) under Homo sapiens (human). RNAcentral's name for it is "HSALNT0066736". The record is from RNAcentral. Lineage: Eukaryota; Metazoa; Chordata; Mammalia; Primates; Hominidae.
GACCACUUGAGGUCGGGAGAUAGAGACCAGCCUGGCCAACAUGGUGAAACCCCAUCUCUACUAAAAAUACAAAAAAAAAAAAAUAGCUGGGUGUGGUGUUGGGUGCCUGUGAUCCCAGCUACUCUGGAGUCUGAGGCAGGAGAAUUCCUUGAACCUGGGAGGCAGAGGUUGCAGUGAGCCGAGAUCCUGCCAUUGCACUCCAGCCUGGGUGACAGAGUGAGACUCUGUCUCAAAAAGAAAAGAAGAGAAGAGAAAAGAAAAGAAAAAAAAAGGGAGGGAGGGGAGGGAAAGGAGGAGACCCUUGGGAACGGGGAAGUGGAGAAGCCAGGCCCCAGGGUCCUUUGGCAUGAUCAUGAAAUAUCUUUUUUCUUUGAGAAAUGCAGCCCCUGGCUCCAAUCAGCUAAUUUUCAAACCUUUGAUCCAUUGAUCCAUUGGGCAGUCUGGGCUUGCUUGGUUCUUGGUUCAGUGACAGACAGCAGAGGGUGAGAGAAAUGGCACAGGGCUGAGAGCCAUGAAGUCACUGGGCAUAGGUGAACGGUGUGACCACACCAGGCCAGGGAAGAAACACGUGCCCAGCCUGCCAUCUGCCCUCCUGUCUUGGAGCCAGGUCUUUCCACCAGCUUCCUUCAUCUUUUAACACUUGGUGAAAAGGAAUGACACGUCAGUCAAAGCCCCUGGCCGGUGCUCAUGGAGCAUCUGGCAGGAGGAAGCCCCUUCCUGGCUGGCCUCCCAUUCAUCAGUCAGCGCCGCAGGCUGGGCCAGGAAGCUGCAUUUGUUGGCCAGGAUUUGAGAUUUCUUUCACUGAGGCCUCCGGAGAGACAUUCCAACGGUGAACACAGAGCACAAACUCAAGAAAUAAAACCACAUGUACUGCCUCAAAGGCAACAAGGCAGGAGGGUGUAAAAAACCCCAGGGGGAGAUACAAAGGCUCAAAGUUCUGCAACCCACACCCCUUGGAAAGAGAGUAGGGUCAGCUCCUCUCCCACCCCAAACUCCCAGUUUGAAUUUUUUAAAAAAACAGCCUUAUAAGCAAACAUCUGCCACUCUCCGGCUUCUGAAUGAAAGGUGAAGAUCAGAAAAAGGAAUCUUUGUGUUUUCAUUAGGUAUUUUAGCAAAUGCAAUGAGGACAUUCAGAUUUGAUUUCCCUGUUUUGUACACACACAUAAGUCGGUGCUAAGAGGAUUACUUUUCCUGGAGCUGCGUCCUUCCUAAAGGCCCCCGUCAAAAGAGACCCUUGUUCAACAGUGUUUUCUCUGAUUCCUCUGGCUUUUCUUCCUUGCCUCAAUGUGCACACAUCUAGCUUGCUCCUAAAUCCACCCACCUCACAGACUUUGGGAUAACGAUGGUCCCGGCACUCCAUUCUCCUCCUGCCCGGGUUCCUUAAUAAAGCUGGAGAUGAACAUUAGUGCUUGGUUCAGCAGCAUCCGAAAGGGAAACGGUGGCCUCCUCGAGCCCUCGAUGCCCCAUAGAAAAAUGUAGCCUUUUUGCCUCUGCUCCGAUGAAUGGCUUUUCGAGGGUUUUCAUUAGGACCGGGUCUGCUGGUGCAGAAAGCCUCACAGAUGUUGACAUUUUUUCAUCCCUGGGUUAAGAUGUCUUCCAUAAGCUUUUAUUCCUCAUUUGUUACUUCUUUAUUAUCCGGGAGGUUUUGCCUCCUCCCUCUUCUCCUUUCUCUGAAGAGAGCAGCGGUAGCUGAGCCCGUCAUUAUCUCGGCCCUUUUCUCCUGCCUCCAGAGGCAGCCCGGGACUCGGGUCCCAUUGUGGCAAACAGCAGGUAGCUGAGGCAGGCCGGGUCACUCCCCAGACCCUUUUGUGCGGCCGUCCCCUCCUCCCUGCAGCUUGGUUCUGGGGAUGUAAAAGGUCAGGAGCAGCCAAGCUUCCAUACCUGAGCUUUUGUCUGGGGCUGGAGGCAAAUGAUUUUAGAAGCAAUUUCUUGGAAAGCAGCCUGGAGACUCCCGUCUCCCUCGUUAAAAUGCACAGCUGUACUCCUAGCCCACUCCUUGGGGCUGGGGGUGAGGGGACAGGGGGAUUAGCUCAGAUCAUCUGGAUCCAAAAAUGCCCUGAGAAAAAAACUUUCUACCCAGAGGAUGGUUGAGACAAUUCAAAUAGAAGCCUAGAGCCCUGAGAUGCUAAGCAGUGUUUUGUGAUAAACAGAGUGUGGUGUUCUGUCACUUUUGACUCUUCUUUGUUUUUAGUCGUAGCAGCCUGCAGCCUCCCUGCAACCUCUCUUUCCUUACCUGUCAAAUAGAAAUGAUCCACCCUCCCUACCUGCCUCACACAGUUUACUAGUUAUUCUGUGGAUCCAAGGAGGUGAUAUAGAAACUGUUUUGCAAGCCAUAAGAUUCCAUACGGCAUUCACCAUUUUUGCCCUCUGCUGGCUGUAUGGACCCUGACUUGAAUAUAAGCCAUCCCAUAAUGCAGUUAAUUUUUCUGAAAAUUAUAGAGCAGAGAUACAGGCAGAUUUAAGGGCCUUAGGGCAUGUGGUUCCAAGCCCUGCCCAAGCUUAUGCUUUGCAGGUGAGGAAGGUCUCGGGGCAAGACAGGCUUUCAUGGUGGUAAAUUCCUUGAGGUUUGAUGUAGCUCCCCUUAGAAGGCAGCUAUGGGAAGCCACCUGCAGAAAGCUGGUGUGCAGAUUUAUGUAGGGAAAGAUAAAAAGGGCCCAGGGGUGCUCACCAGCCACCAGCUUAAUAUAAGCCUUUGCAACCUGGCUGCCGGAAGAGCCAAUGGGAGCUUAAGCUGCCUACCGGAAAGAAGGGGGUCCCCCAGGCUCCACCCAGGGUGCUGAGACCUUUCUGGACAUCACAUCUGGAGAGAACUGUGCAGGUACAGAAUUCUGCUCAAGGGAAAGAGACUAGGAUCAUGAGAGGACUAGAAAUCUCACUCUUACAAACACUGGCUGGGGAAGCUGAGGCUGCUUCCCCUAUUUGAGAGUUCAGGGAUAUUCGUAGGGAAGGGGAAUCGGGCUCAUUCUGUGUAGCCCUAGGGACAGACACUGGGACUGCAGAGUGGAAGCUGAAAUGAAAGUGUUUUGAGCACAUGAGAGGAAAAUAUUUCAAAUGCCCAGAAUUUAAGAGAGAGUGAACAAUCUAUCACUAAGGGUAAUCUAGCAAAGUGGGAUACUGGGGAGAAGAUUCAUCAUCCCUGAGCAUUCAUUUAGGGCUUACUCUGUGUCAGGCCCAACAUGUCCUUUCUAAUCAUGAAAUCACUCCAUUCUUUGAUUUAUUAAGAAAUAUAACAUUCCUUUUAAACAACCAGGUCUCACAACUCACUAUCACGAUGGCAACACCAACGGGGAUGGUGCCAAACCAUUAAUGAGAAGCCAGCCCCAUGAUCCAAACACCUCCUACCAGGCCCCACCUGCAGCACUGGGGAUUACAUUUCAACAUGAGACUUGGGCAGGGAAAUAGAUCCAAACCGUAUCAACAAACAUAGGCAAAUCACAUCUAUUUUAAUAUACUAGCAAUGAAUACAUGGACAACAAAUAUAAAAUAUAAUGUAUAAUCAAGAAAAUGAAAUAUUCAGGUGUUAAUAUAACAUAUAAUCAAGAAAAUGAAAUAUUUAGGUGUAAAUAUAACUAAAGAUGUCCAGCACUUAUGUGUUGAAAACAUCAAAAUGCUAAUGAAAGAAAUCAAAGAAAAAUCUAAGUAAAUGGUUGACAUAUGAUAGUCAUGGAUAGGAAGAGUCAAAAUAGUAAUGAUGUCAAAUUUCCCCAAACUGAUAUACAGGUGCAACACAAUUCCAAUCAAAAUCUCAGCAAGAUUUCUGUAGAUGUAGACAACAAGCUUAUUCUAAAUGUAUAUGAAAAAGCAAAGGGAGUUGAAUAAGUAAAACAGUUUGGGGAAAAUAAUUUGGGAAAAGUCAUAUUACCUGAUUUUAAGACUGAUUAGAUAGCAUCAGUAACCAAGUCAGCAUGAGGAAUAGAUACAAAGAUCAAUGAAACAGAAUAGAGAACCCAGAAAUGGGUCCUAGAUAUUCUAGGUAUGAGCCCCACACAAGUAGGGCCAACUCAUUUUUGACAAAGGUGCAAAAGCAAUUCAAUGGAGAAGGGAUAGCCUUUUUAAGAAACAGUACUGGAGCAAAUAGAUAUUCUUGGGCAAAUAAGAAGAAAGAAAAAGAAAGGAACCUCAACCCCAAAAUCAUACCUGUUACAAAAAUUAAUUAAAAAUGGACCAUAGAUUUAAAUGUAAAACAUAAAACUAUAAAACUUUCAGAAGAUAACAUAAGGACAAAUCUUCAGGACCUGUGGUUUAGUGAAGAGUUCAUAGACCAAAAGCAAAAAAAAAAAAAAGACAGAAAAAAACUUUUAAGUGAUAAAUUGGACUUUAUCAACACUACAAACUUUUGCUCUAUAAAAGCCCCUCUUAAGAGGAAGAAAAGACAAGUUAUACACUGGGAGAAAAUAUUUGCAAACAGCAUAUCUGAAAAAGGACUCAUAUCAUAUCUAGAAUAUAUAAAGAAUUCUUAAAACUGAAGAGUAAAAAAAUCAAAUAAUUUAAGUAGACAAGUGGUAAAAGAUAUAUGAAGAAAAAUUUUAAUGAAGAGUAUAUAAAAAUAAAAAAUAAGCAGAUGAAAAGAUGUUAAACAUCACUAACCAAUAAAGAAAUGCAAAUAAAGACCGCAAUUAGAUAUCACCACAUAUCUAUUAGAUCAAGUAAAAUUUCAAAAUAGCCACAAUACCAAAUCAUGGCCAGGAUGUGGGGAAACUGGAUUUCUUAUACAUUGCUGUUGGUAAUGUAAAAUGAUUCAGUCACUCUGGAAAACAGCUUGAAAGUUUCUUUUAAAAUUACCAUACCUCACAGCAAUUGCACUUCUAGGUAUUUAUCCCAGAGAAAUGAAAAUGUAUGUCAACAUUAAAACCUAUACGUAAUUGUGCUAAGCCACUUCAUUUUUAUUAUCCCCAACAGGAAACAACCAAAAUGUUCUCCAACAGGUGAAUGGUGAAAUAAACGGUGGAACAUGUAUACUACAGAAAACUGCUCGGCAAUGAAAAGGAAUGAAUUAUUGAUACAUGCAAUAGUUUGAACUGAUCUCAAAGUCAUUAUGUUAAAUGAGAAAAAAAAAAGCCAAGUUCAAAAGGUGACAUACUGUAUGAUUCCACUUAUAUAACACUCUUGAAAUGACAAAAUUAUAGUGUUGGAAAACAGGUUAGUGGUUGCCAGAGGUUAGGGAUGGUUGGAGAGACGGGGAUAGGCGUGACUAUAAAGAGGCAGCACAAGAAAGAUUUUUAUGGUGAUGAAAUAAUUCUGCAUAUUGACUGUGAGGUGCUUACAAAUAUACACAUAUGAUAAGAUGACAUAGAACUAUACACACACAUUGUACCAGUGUCAAAUUCAUAGUUUUAAUAUUAUACUAUAACCAUCUAAAAUGUAACCACGGGGGGAAACUGAGUGAAGAGCACAUGGAUCCUCUUUGUACUACCUUUGUAACUUCCUGUGAACUUAUAAUUAUUUCAAAAUAAAAAGUUUAAUUAAAAAUCAGUUGCAUUUCUAUAUACAAGUAAUGAACAAUUGGGAAAUAAAGGUUUAAAAACUUCAUUUACAAAUAGUACUUAAAAAUACUUAGAAAUGAAUUUAAAGAAAGAUGUUCCAGACCUAUAACCUUAAAACUACAAAAUAUUAUUAAGGGAAAUUAAAGAAAACCUAAAUAAAUGGAGAGGCAUACCAUGUUCAUGGAUUUGAAGAUGCAAUAUUGUUAAAAGUUUUUUCUAAAAACUGACCUAUAGACUCAAUACAAUCCUCAUCAAAAUCAUAACAGACUAUUUUGGAGAAACUGAUAAAUUGAUUCUAAAAUAAUAUGAAAAAGCAAAGAGUUAAAAAUUGCCAAAAUAACUUAAAAAAUAAAAGCAAGUUUGAAGUGCUUGCAUUACCUGAUUUCAGGAUUACUAUAAAACCACAAUAAUCAAAAUUGUAUGGCAUUGGCAUGGUUAUAGAUCAGUAGAACAGAGUAGAGAGUGCAGGAAUAGACUUGCAUUUAUAUGCUCAAUUAAUUUUUUUUACAAAAGUGCCAAGACAAUUGAAUGAGGAAUGUAUAGUCUUUUUACAAAGUGGUACUGGAUAUCUUUAUGGGGACGAAUUAAGUUUUAAACCUUAUUUCACAUCAUAUGCAAAAUGAUCAAAAUAGAUAAUAGACCUAAACAUAAGAGCUAAAACAAUAAGAAUUUCUGGAAGAAAACAGCAGAAAAUCUUUGUGAUAUUGUGUUGGUAAAGAUUACCUAAACAUGACACACAAAGAUUAUCUAAACUUAACACAAACAGCAGUAAUCAUAAAAGAAAAAUAUAAUAAAAUAGAUUUCAUAAAAAUUAAAAACUUCUAUUCACUUAAGGACACAUUUAAGAAAAUGAAAAGACAAGCCAGAGACUAGGAGAAAAUAUCUGUAAAAUAUAUAUAUAGUGAAAGGCUUGUAUGCAGAAUAAUAAGAAAGCAAACAAUACAGAUUUUAAAAAUGGACAGAAUAUUUGAACAGACACUUCCCACAGAAAAUAUAUGGGCAGCCAAUAUGAACACGACUAGGCAACAAGGAAAUACAAAUCAAAACUACAAUGAAAUACCCAAUAUACCCAUUAGAAUGGGUUUUUUUUUAAACUGUCAUCGCAAGGAGUUAGUGAAGAUGUAGAAAAACUACACUCUCAAACACUGCCAGUAGAAAUGUGAAACGGUAUGGCCCCUUUGGAAAAGUGUUUGGCAGUGUUCUUAAAGUUAAACAUACACCCAUUACAUAGCCCAGAAAUUCCACUCCUAGGUACUUACCCAAGAGAAUGAAAACAUAGACUUGUAUGUGAAUGUUCACAGCAACAUUAUUCAUAACCACAUAUUCAUAAUAGCCAAACUCUGGAGGCCGGGUAUGGUGGCUCACACCUGUAAUCCCAGCACUUUGGGAGGCUGAGGUGGGUGGGUCACUUGAGCUCAGGAGAUUGAGACCAGCCUGGCCAACAUGGUGAAACCCCAUCUCUACUAAAAAUACAAAAAUUAGCUGGGCAUGGUGGCGGGCACCUGUGAUCCCAGCUACUGUGGAGGCUGAGGCAGGAGAAUCGCUUGAACCCUGGAGGUGGAGGUUGCAGUGAGCCAAGAUCAUGCCAUUGCACUUCAACCUGGGCAACAAGAGCAAAACUCUGUCUCAAAAAAUAAAUAAAUCUGGAAGCAACCCAAAUGUCCCUCAAUUGGUGAGUAGACAAACUGUGGUUAUCCUAUGAAUUACAUCAGAGCAGUUUUUCAGAUUUUUUAAUGGGCUGGGACUCAAGGCAAAAGCAAAAAUGGAAUUGAUUUAAAUAAAUAAAAAUAAAAGAUUUCAUCUUUUCUUCCCCUCUCACAAUCCCCUCAGGUCACUCUCUGACACACAAAGGAAUGGCAAAAAUGCAAUCCAACAUUGAAUCAUAAAUUACUAGACACCAGCAGCUGUGCUAGGUGCUGGGACACCAAGAGGGAUCAUACCUGGUUUCUGCCCUUGAGAAGCUCACAACGUAAACAGGGAUAGAGGUGGGUGCACAGUGAAUGCUCAUACAAAUCAGACUGCAGCGCGGCAAAGCACAAGACAGUGCUUCACUCGGCUGGGGGGAUAGUCAGUACUGACUGUGUUAGGAGUUUGAAGACUGUGGCCUCACAGAGGAGGUGACAAUGAGUAGAACCUUGAUGAGACUUUUUUUUUCUUUUGAGAGACAGGGUUUCGCUCUGUCACCCAGGCUGUGGCAGGAGUGCAGUGGCACAAUCAUAGCUCACUGCAGCCUCAAACUCCUGGCUUAAGUGAUCCUCCCACCUUAGCCUCCCUAGUAGCUAGGACUACAGGUGCACUGCCACACCUGGCUAAGUUUUUUAAUUUUUGUAGAGAUGGGAUCUUGCUGUGUUGCUCGGGCUGGUCUCAAACUCCUGGGCUCAAGCAAUCCUUCCACCUUGGCCUCUCAAAGUGCUGGGAUUGCAGGAAUGAGUCACUGUGCCCAGCCAGGAUAAGAUAAAUUAAAUAAGCAGAGAAGGUGGAGAGAUGUGGCAGAGGAAACGGCAGAGGGAACAUCCCAGCAGUGCCCCCUGUGACAUUUGGGGGAGUCAUGGGUAUUUUGAUGGGGCAGGUGCUUAGGAGCAAACUAAUGGGAAAAGAAGCAACGCAGAGCAUUUGGUCCCUGGUUUAGCUGUUUGCUGUCUGAUGUUCUCUGUGUUUGGGCAUCAGCGUCCAAGCCCUGCUUAUGCCCACUGGGCCAGUCUCUCAGGAGAGCAACAGGGUACCCUAUACCUAUUCAUUCAGAGCCAGCAGCCAGGUGAUUACUCAGCAUAAAGAAACUUCUUUUGAGCCACAUCAUCCAUGACAUUGGAUCCAAACUGCCAAGUCCACAAGGCUGCAAAAUUUCCCCAAUGUAUUCAUUUGGGUUCCAGUUAAAUGGACAAUAAUGAUCCUUUAGGAGUGUGUGGUGAAGUGUGAACACAUCCAGCACCUUCUGCUUUACAAAACACUUUCUCACCUGUUGACCAGAUGACUCUACCCAUGCUCCCACCAGUUAGGGAGGCAGAGAAAAUGUACCCCAUUUGAUAGAUGAGGAAACAGGCUAGAGUUGCCAACUAGGUUCAAGGUCGAUGUCCCCUGUCAUAGUGGCUGAAGGACAUAAACAGUGUGAAGGUCAGGGGCGGGAGAAGAAGUGAUUUAUUGACCAGGUCUCCAUCCAGCCUUUUUGGGAUAUGACUCUUUCAGCAGAAUGUCAAAAAGUCUAAUUUUCUGUGGACUCCAGAAAAGUUGAUUUUGAUCAGAUCAACAAGCCACCUCAGAGUGUUGAACUCAUACCCUCUGGCUUUUUCUGCUAAUGACUAUGAAAUUCACAUUCAGUGAUGAACCUCUUCUCAGGAUGGAAUGCUUUUAUAGUAAUGCCAAUUAAUAACUUUCUUCUUCUCCUAGCCCUCUUUGUGAUGUUGAAUCACAGGGCAUAGAUGCUGGCAGGGCUUUAGAGGCACUAGUAAUGUGGUUUUUAAAUUUUUUUCAUUGACUGAUCAGCAUCUUUCAUCUCCUUGGUUCAUAACCUGUGAAGUAGGCAACAGCCUGGAUCAUUAUCCCCAUCUUAUACGCGAAAUAACCAAGAAAAAAAGCGGCUAAGCCACUUACCCAAGUUGUAGAGCUAGGUCUAGAACAUGUCUUAUGACUCCCAAACAAUGCUCAAUCUACUACAUCAAACUUCCUUUCUCUUCCACCCUGCAGAUUAGAUGCAAAUUACUACAUGCUUGAGCUUCACCGAGAAGGAAACCAGCUCAGAGAGGAGUAGAGGUCUGGCCUUCAUGGCAGUGUGGGAGAGCUCCUUGACUCUUACCCUCCCUCCAGAGACAGAAACAGUUUCCCUUCAAACCAUCAUGAGGAUUGUUGCACGCCAGCUCUGUCUUAACUUAAAUAUGACUCCAGGUCAAUAUCAAAAGGAAGGUGACAGUGUCCACCUACCCAUUCCCCAGUAGCUGGCCACAUUGUGCCGUCCUAGCCACAGCUGAGCCUGCUCCAGGCCAUUCUCUUGAAACACAUACUAGCAUCCUCCCCCGAGCCCAGCUUCCACUGACAGGCAGGCUCUGAAUCCAGCAGGCUGCUGCCUGAAGCAGCUCCCAGCAGGAGCUAGAUGGAGGCCGGCAAGGUUACAGGUGCUUUUCAUCCAGCCUCACAGGAGAGCACCAACUUCCUGCUGCUAGAAAUUUGUCUGCAAAUUUUUGUCUUCAUUCAAAUCGAUGGAUAGAAGCCGGGAGACACUGGGGUGAUAUGAUAACUUGAUUAAGCCCCAGAACAGAUGACACGGUAGCUUAAAGGCCAUGUGCUCUCCUCCUUAACCUCUCCCAGGGAGACCGCAGGCUUUGCUAGUAAUUGGCCCAUUGUCCUUCCACUGCGAUUCCUGCACAAGCCGGGAAUCGCCUGGCUAGGGGCUCCUCUCUGGGGCAGCCUUAAAUACUCUCAGACCAGUCAGGCCUAGGGAACUGUGAAAAAUACCUGUGCAAUGGAACAUACCAGAGUCACAUUCUGAGAAGCUAAAAAUGACCCUUACUGAAAACAAUGACCUAGGAUAUUCUCCCAUCCUCAAGCACAACUGUAAAUUGCAACACACACAGGGAUGAAAGCCCAAGACUGUUAAAAGGUGUUCAAACUUUUAGAAUAUUCCGUUCUUUUGGGGGAAAAUCCCCCUGACCUUUCAUUUUUGUCGAGGUUGGUGUCUCCUGCUGGAUUACCCAUUAUUGAGAAUGUUUUUGAUCAACCACUUCCAGAUACUCUGGCAUUCACUGGUGUGAGCCCGUCUUGGGUGAGCUAAGGUGGAUACCUGUGUAUAUCAUUGCCUCUGGAAAAGAGAUAGGUGGGUUCCAAGCCAGAAAGAAGAGUGCUAAAUAGAAGAUAUAAGUAGAGCUGGGCGUGGGGUCGUGAACAGUGGCUCAGGCCUGUAAUCUCAGCACUUUGGGAGGCUGAGGCGGGCAGAUCACCUGAGGUCAGGAGUUGGAGACUGGCCUGGCCAACAUGCCAAAACCUCGUCUCUACUUUAAAAAAAAAAAAAAGGGCCGGGCACAGUGGCUCACGCCUGUAAUCCCAGCACUUUGGGAGGCCAAGGCGGGCGGAUCCCGAGGUCAGGAGGUCGAGACCAUCCUGGCUAACAUGCUGAAACCUCGUCUCUACUAAAAAUACAAAAAAAAAAAAAAAAUUAGCCAGGCGUGGUGGCGGGCGCCUGUAGUGCCAGCUACUCGGGAGGCUGAGGCAGGAGAAUGGCGUGAACCCGGGAGACGGAGCUUGCAGUGAGCGCGGCACUGCACUCCAUUCAGCCUGGUCGACAGAGCGGGACUCCGUUUCAAAAAAAAAAAAAAAAAAGUAGCCGGGUGUGGUGGCGGACGCCUGUAAUCCCAGCUACUUGGGAGGUUGAGGCAGGAGAAUCGCUUGCACCUGGGAGGCGUAGGCUUCGGAAAGAGGAGGCUUCAGUGAGCCGAGACCGCAUCACUGCACUCCAGCCUGGGCGACAAAGCGAGACUCCAUCUAAAAAAAAAAAAAAAAGAUGUAAGUAGAUAUUUGCUGUGAUGAUAGUUUUGCAUUCUAUUUUAAAAUCUUCUGUCAGUCUUUGUUCAGUGAUAGACUUAAGACAUUUAAGAGCUGAGAGGGAGCGGAACACGAAUCCCCUCAACCCAUUUUUUUUUAGGAAUAUAUGAGAGGAAUAAAAUUCGCUACUGUCUGCUCAAAGUUUGAGUUGGACCCUUGCUGGGGAAUGUGAAAAACAAAGCUGUUGGUGACGCUUUGAAAAUCAGCAAGGUGUACUAUUAAAGGUUAAAUAAAUGCUAUUUUAAAUUCUCAUUCAUUAUGAUUUAUUGCUCAAGUCUCCCUAUGAGAAAGAG